UUAGCUUAUAAAUUUAACGAUUUAUAAAAAACUCUCAAACAACUCUUAAAAGGGAAUCUUGUGAAAGACAAGAGCGGUUCCCGCCGCCGUAAAGUUCUAUAAGCUUUUAUUGAGGUAAGCCACUGGAAUAACAUUCUGGGAAGGCAAAUAAAAGCGAACUAAGCCGGAAGACCUGCCCACGCUGUGAUUUUAAA
Molecule: non-coding RNA, 194 nt
Filed under: Desulfovibrio litoralis
Lineage: Bacteria; Pseudomonadati; Thermodesulfobacteriota; Desulfovibrionia; Desulfovibrionales; Desulfovibrionaceae
Source: RNAcentral